GGUUUAAAGGGUGYGKAGGCGGRCARGUAAGUCAGUGGUGAAAUCCGGGAGCUCAACUCCAGAACUGCCAUUGAUACUAUUUGUCUUGAAUAUUGUGGAGGUAAGCGGAAUAUGUCAUGUAGCGGUGAAAUGCUUAGAUAUGACAUAGAACACCCAUUGCGAAGGCAGCUUACUACGCAUAUAUUGACGCUGAGGCACGAAAGCGUGGGGAUCAAACAGGAUUAGAUACCCUGGUAGUCCACGCCCUAAACGAUGGAUACUCGACAUACGCGAUACACUGUGUGUGUCUGAGCGAAAGCAUUAAGUAUCCCACCUGGGAAGUACGUUCGCAAGAAUG
This 337-nucleotide ribosomal RNA is filed under the name uncultured bacterium. RNAcentral's name for it is "bacterial SSU rRNA". It matches the Rfam family "Bacterial small subunit ribosomal RNA", at positions 557 to 896 of the family's 1533-position model. The record is from RNAcentral.